Non-coding RNA from Schistosoma rodhaini, 49 nucleotides. The record is from Rfam. Lineage: Eukaryota; Metazoa; Platyhelminthes; Trematoda; Strigeidida; Schistosomatidae.
GCACUGCUGAGGAGUCCCAUAAUAGGACGGAACGGCCGUCAUGCUGUGC